AUACGGAGGGGGCAAGCGUUGUUCGGAAUUAUUGGGCGUAAAGGGCACGUAGGCGGUCAAGUAAGUUGGUGGUGAAAGCCCUCGGCUCAACCGAGGAAUUGCCCCCAAAACUGCUUGACUUGAGUCCCGGAGAGGGUGGCGGAAUUCCCAGUGUAGCGGUGAAAUGCGUAGAUAUUGGGAGGAACACCAGUGGCGAAGGCGGUCACCUGGACGGGUACUGACGCUGAGGUGCGAAAGCGUGGGGAGCAAACAGGAUUAGAAACCCGAGUAGUCC
RNAcentral lists this ribosomal RNA (274 nucleotides) under uncultured bacterium. RNAcentral describes it as "partial 16S ribosomal RNA". It matches the Rfam family "Bacterial small subunit ribosomal RNA", at positions 523 to 796 of the family's 1533-position model. The record is from RNAcentral.